GCCUCAGUAACGGCGAGUGAGCGGCAAAAGCUCAAAUUUGAAAUCUAGCACUUUCAGUGUUCGAGUUGUAAUUUGAAGAAGGUAACUUUGGUUUUGGCUCUUGUCUAUGUUCCUUGGAACAGGACGUCACAGAGGGUGAGAAUCCCGUGCGAUGAGAUGCCCAAUUCCAUGUAAAGUGCUUUCGAAGAGUCGAGUUGUUUGGGAAUGCAGCUCUAAGUGGGUGGUAAAUUCCAUCUAAAGCUAAAUAUUGGCGAGAGACCGAUAGCGAACAAGUACAGUGAUGGAAAGAUGAAAAGAACUUUGAAAAGAGAGUGAAAAAGUACGUGAAAUUGUUGAAAGGGAAGGGCUUGAGAUCAGACUUGGUAUUUUGCGUUCCCUUCCUUUUUGGUUGGGUUCCUCGCAGUUUACUGGGCCAGCAUCGGUUUGGAUGGUAGGAUAAUGACAUUGGAAUGUAGCUUUACUUCGGUGAAGUGUUAUAGACUUUGUUGAUACUGCCUAUCUAGACCGAGGACUGCGUCUUUGACUAGGAUGCUGGCGUAAUGAUCUUAAGCCGCCCGUCUUGAAACAACGGACC
RNAcentral lists this ribosomal RNA (574 nucleotides) under Dujonia zeylanoides. RNAcentral's name for it is "eukaryotic LSU rRNA". It matches the Rfam family "Eukaryotic large subunit ribosomal RNA", at positions 77 to 667 of the family's 3401-position model. The record is from RNAcentral. Lineage: Eukaryota; Fungi; Ascomycota; Pichiomycetes; Serinales; Debaryomycetaceae.